GCACUGCUGAGGAGUCCCACAAUAUAACGAAACGGCCGUCCAGUGC
Schistosoma rodhaini is the source of this 46-nucleotide non-coding RNA. Lineage: Eukaryota; Metazoa; Platyhelminthes; Trematoda; Strigeidida; Schistosomatidae. The record is from Rfam.